RNAcentral lists this long non-coding RNA (210 nucleotides) under Elaeis guineensis (African oil palm). RNAcentral's name for it is "long non-coding RNA (EGUI_LNC013877)". The record is from RNAcentral. Lineage: Eukaryota; Viridiplantae; Streptophyta; Magnoliopsida; Arecales; Arecaceae.
UCCGCUCCCUAUACUUGGUGCUUGUAUAGACUCCAAAAUGCAGCUAAGGUCCGUCAGUAUGCUUCGAAAUGACUAAGGCCACCUGCUGCUCAUAUCUAUGGAAGACAUCCACCCUAAUCGAGCCAUAAUGUCAUAUCAUCAGGAUACCCCUGGACAACCCUCUAGACUCCAUUGCGUAUGUGCUCCACGCCAUCGAAAUCCGAUGUCUAG